AUGAAAGUUUCAAAAUGGAAGUUAGGAAUUCUUUGUUUUAUAAGUGGAUGUGUAAUGUCUGGUCAGGUGGAUGCUUGUAUUCCUGAUAGAGUUCCAAUGGGACUCUUAAUCACAGAUUGCCCUUAUCCACAACUGAAAACUCUUGAGAUGCAGAGGACUCUUGCCCUAAAAAUCAUUCUUUCCUUUUCUUUUUUUCUACCCACAGAAGCCCCAAGACAGCAACCUGCUGAACCUGAACCAGCCCCAAGGCAACAAACUAGGAAAAGUAAAGGAGAACCAGGCGAACCACCUGAAGGAGAACCAGGUCCACCACCUGAAGGAGAACCAGGCGAACCACCUGAAGGAGAACCAGGUCCACCACCUGAAGGCUCUUCACUUCUUCUAAGGGAGGAGCCAUCUCAGACCUAGCCACAAGCCUACUCACACCAAUAUCUUCAAGGAGAGAAGAAGAAGAAGAAAUAGGUAUUUGGAAAGAUUUCUAUUCUUUAGAUGUGCUGAGAUCAGCUGAACAUAACAAUAUCUAAUUUUUCCACCCAUUUUAUAUUUGGGUCCCUUCAUUUCUCUUCUAUCUUCUACUUACACUUAUGAAAGCUUAAAUGUAUGGAUGAUUUUGUGAUGAAUAUGAACUCUGGCCAAGUGGAUACUUGCAUUCUUCAAGUAAUUCCACUGGUCCUUCAUCAAUAUUACUUUAUCCACAUCUGAAACCUCUUGAGAUUCAUAGGACUCUUGCCUAAACAUUACUCAUUUUUUAUUUUUUCUACCCAGGAGAACCCAGGCGAACCACCUGAAGGUAAGUAAUAUGUCAUCUCUAAACACUCCUUUCUUUCCCCUUUUCUUGAGGACCCUAGACCUUGUCCUCAUUUUAAACCAUUUGGCACUCCACUCUUAAAGUUCAGUACCAAGAAGAGAGGGUAAUAAUGAACUAACAGGGUGGUCAGCUUAAAAGGCUUGUUUUCUCU
This is a long non-coding RNA of Phascolarctos cinereus (koala), 959 nucleotides long. The record is from Ensembl. NCBI's taxonomy places the organism in Eukaryota, Metazoa, Chordata, Mammalia, Diprotodontia, Phascolarctidae.